This 499-nucleotide ribosomal RNA is filed under the name uncultured Lachnospiraceae bacterium. RNAcentral's name for it is "bacterial SSU rRNA". It matches the Rfam family "Bacterial small subunit ribosomal RNA", at positions 8 to 507 of the family's 1533-position model. Lineage: Bacteria; Bacillati; Bacillota; Clostridia; Lachnospirales; Lachnospiraceae. The record is from RNAcentral.
AGAGUUUGAUCCUGGCUCAGGAUGAACGCUGGCGGCGUGCUUAACACAUGCAAGUCGAGCGAAGCGCUCACGCGGAAUUUUCGGAAGGAAGCGGGAGUGACUUAGCGGCGGACGGGUGAGUAACGCGUGGGUAACCUGCCCCAUACCGGGGGAUAACGGUUAGAAAUGACCGCUAAUACCGCUUAAGCGCGCGAGGCCGCAUGGCCACGCGCGAAAAACUCCGGUGGUAUGGGAUGGGCCCGCGUCUGAUUAGCUAGUUGGCGGGGUAAAGGCCCACCAAGGCGACGAUCAGUAGCCGACCUGAGAGGGUGGCCGGCCACAUUGGGACUGAGACACGGCCCAAACUCCUACGGGAGGCAGCAGUGGGGAAUAUUGCGCAAUGGGGGAAACCCUGACGCAGCAACGCCGCGUGAGUGAAGACGUAUCUCGGUAUGUAAAGCUCUAUCAGCGGGGAAGAAGGAAGACGGUACCCGACUAAGAAGCCCCGGCUAACUACGUG